UAAAAGCAGGCUGCCGGAGCCGGGAGUGGCAAUCCCCUAAUGUUCCCUUCCACCUUGUGGAAGUUUUGUUCUUUCGCUCUUUGCAAUAAAUCCCAUUGUUGCUCGCUCUUUGGGGUCUCACUGUCUGUGCGAGCUGUAAUACUCGCCGCAAAGGUGUCUGGCUUCACUUCCGAGACCAGCGAGACCCCGAACCCACCGGGAGGAAUGAACAACUCCGGAUGGGAGGGACAAACAACACCAGACGCACCGCCUUAAGAGUCCUAACGCUCACCGCGGAGGUCUGCGGCUUCACUCUUGAAUGAAGCCAGCGAGAUCACAAACCCACCAGAAGGAAGGAACUCUGAACACAUCCGAAAAUCAGAAGGAACAAACUCCGGACACACUACCUUUAAGAACUGUAACACUCAAAUCGCGAGGGUCCACGGCUUCGUUCUUGAAGUCAGUGAGACCAAGAACCCACAAAUUCCGGACACUUCCCCACACAGAGGGAACUGGCCUAACACUCUGGUGGUGCCAAUAGGAUGUACUGACAGAUCAGAAGUGGUCGUGAGAGAAGGAGCAAGUAGCCAGAAGAGUGAAGUGUGCACUGGCUGAGAUGUGGGAGCAGGUGUUGUUGGUUUCCCCGGAGUAAGUUACCUUGAGUGAGUUAAGGUUAAGAUAUCCCAGGGGUGAGGUUGAGCAGGCAGUUGUGUAUGUGACCCUGGGGAAAGUCUAGCUGAAGAUACAAAGAUGGGAUGAGAUCACCAAGGAGUAAGUGUCUUUAGCAAAGAGAAGAGACCAAGGACUGAAUCUGGAUACCUCAACAUUUGGAGUCAGAGCCUGAAAAGGAUCCCUCAAAAGUGCCCAAGAAGCAGCAGAAUGAGGAAAGACAGCCCAGGGAGUGUGGCACAGCUGCUCCUCACCACUUCAGGCUCCCCUGGAGUCCAAUGCACUGGGGCCUCAUUCCUGGGUAUUAUAAUUGCCUCCUAAGUGGCCUCUGGCUUAUGUCUCCUACCCCAGUUGAUGUUCAUCACAUCAGCCAGAGUGGCUCUGUUAACACCCAAGCCAGUUCCUGCCCAUCUGCUGAGAAUCUUCAAGGGCUUUCACCUCACUCUGAGUCGAAGCCAAUAUCUUCACAAUGGCCUGGCCCUUUGCCAACUGCUGUGGUUUAAAUGUUUGUACCCUUCAAAACUUAGGUUGAAAUUUGCUUGGCAACAUGGUGGUGGCAGGAGGUGGAACCUUUGGGAUGUGAUAGGGCCAAGGGCUCUGCCCUCAGGGGUAGGAUUAAUGCUGUUACAAAAGAGCAAGUUUGACUUUCUUUUGCCUCUUUGCCCUUCUACCUUCCUUCCUGGGAGGAUGCAGCAAGAAGGCCCUCGCCAGAUAUCAAGGCCUUAAGCUUGGACUUCCCAGCCUCCAGAACUGGGGGAAGAGCCAAGAUGUCUGAAUAGAAACAGCUCCGGUCUACAGCUCCCAGCGUGAGCAAUGCAGAAGACAGGUGAUUUCUGCAUUUCCAUCUGAGGUACCGGGUUCAUCUCACUAGGGAGUGCCAGACAGUGGGCGCAGGUCAGGGGGUGCUCGCACCGUGUGCCAGCCGAAGCAGG
RNAcentral lists this long non-coding RNA (1580 nucleotides) under Homo sapiens (human). Its description in RNAcentral is "HSALNT0002003". Lineage: Eukaryota; Metazoa; Chordata; Mammalia; Primates; Hominidae. The record is from RNAcentral.